CUCCCGGACGCUUGCCUGCAGUCAGCGAAGCUUUUCCAACCCAGGUCUGGGCCCUGCGAGCUCCAGGUGCCUCUGCCCCGCGGCGCUGGCGAAGUCGAAGCCCGAGAACGCCCACCGCAGCGAUGCGAAGGCCGCUUCUGGGGUGGGGCUGAGGCUGCAGCUGCCUCCCUUUCGCACCAAGGACCCCAACCUUCAGCGACGCAGCCGCCGCUCCCGCCCAGGCUGGGAGGCACUGUAGGGAUCCGACGCUUCAGGUGGCCAAAGAGCGACUUUCUCUGAUUCCAGGGCCCUGGCGGGGCAGGCUCCAGUACCGCACUCGGCGGAGGCCGAAGGUCUGUGGGGCAGGACAGGAGUUCCUCGUGCCGUCGGAAGGGCCGAGGACGAAGGAGGGCGCUAAUUCACUCCCCACUGGGCUGGCGGCAACGCCGAAUCCCGCAGUGACCGCGGAGGGCCAAGGUGCAGGCUGCCCCAUGGAUGCCACACGUGGCAGCGGGGAGAAAAGAAGUGAUUCGGUCCCUGCCGAGGGUUGCUGCCACCCACGCACUGCUGGCGGACUCAGUGCCAGGCAGCCUUGAUGGCCAGGCAACGUCUAACCCAGGAGGUGGGACACAUCCUCGGAGUCACCAGUGAGAUGUGGCGAGCUGGGAGAAAAGUCGGCUUCCUGCAUUUGUCACCUUCUGCCUCCAGCCAUGGAACUGCUUCACAAGAUUAAAGGAGAAACAGAAAAUGUAUCUAGCGCUGUGCUUGGGGCAUGGCAGGAACUCAAUGAAUGCUUAUUAAAUACUGUAAAUGAUAAACACAUCAAUGGAUGGUGUUAUGAAUCCACUGGCCUAUUAAGGGAUCCUUUAGGAAGGCUCUAUGUGAACAUGAUCCUGGGUAUCUACACAUAGAACCCAGGUAUAAUCUGAAGAGAUCAUCUGAUAAGUGAGUGAUUUUGAUUA
Molecule: long non-coding RNA, 941 nt
Filed under: Homo sapiens (human)
Lineage: Eukaryota; Metazoa; Chordata; Mammalia; Primates; Hominidae
Description: non-protein coding lnc-KIAA0319L-1:3
Source: RNAcentral